Molecule: long non-coding RNA, 949 nt
Filed under: Fukomys damarensis (Damara mole-rat)
Lineage: Eukaryota; Metazoa; Chordata; Mammalia; Rodentia; Bathyergidae
Description: lncRNA (ENSFDAG00000031789.1)
Source: RNAcentral
ACCAACUGGCCAGAGUUCACAUGCGCCAUCACAGCUAAAAGCACUCCCAGACAAGAAGCCUGGAACAAAGGGUGCUCUCAUGAAUCAGCAGCUGUAAGACUGCGUAGUAGCACAUCUGAGAACAUAUGGGAAAGGCUUUGCCAUGGCUAAGCGCAUCUUGUCACAACACAAAAAUGACAGCUUCAGUCUCACCAGUAUUUUAUAUUUCAGGUGAGAGCUGCUUGUCUUUCCAUGAAGUUCUGCAUAAUAAACCAGUGUGAGCAGAUGCUGCGAGAUGCCACCCAAGGCCCACCCCUCUGCCUUAAGCUUAUGCAAGCCUGGCACUGCCCCCACUGGCGUGCCUAGAGGGCAGCAAUGCCUAGGACAGUCGUGGGACACAGUGCACCCUGUGAAAGAAUCACAAAGUUGAAGUACCUUGGAGCUGGAACGGUUGCGCAAGUUCAGAAGGAAGAGGGAGUCUCCUUGAGCAAAAUACCCCAUGUCAUCGUCAGCUGUGUAGCCUAAGGCGUUGAUGUCUCCUUCUGCCAAAAAUGUCCACACAACUUGAUUUUGGUCCAUAUCUAAGAGCACUAUCUCAUUUUGAAGAAAAGACAUGAGUAAAGAGAUGACACAUCAAUCACGCAGGCUUCUGGUUCUUAUUUCCAUUGGGAGAUCCAAGUCAGGCCUUCAGCGGACUCAAGAGAUGGAACUGCAAAACAGAAGCAGAAACAGAGCCAAAAAGAACAUAAAGCUAACUUCUACCACUCACAAUCAGCAUGUGGACAGCUUAUCAAACUCUGGGCCUGAGGUGGACCCCCUGGUAGAUGCAUUCGAUCCAUUUCCACAGAACAGAACCACAAAACUGAUGGCCUCCAAGAGAGAGGACACCUGGACCCAAACACGACCUGCUUCACAGCAUGCCAAGGUUCUUCUAGUUUGCUGCUAUGCAACUCCAGGAGUCAGUAAUUGA